ACUUGAAUAGCUUAUAAAAUAGAGCAUGACAUUGAAGAUGUUAGGGAAAUUUAAUUUAAUUUUUAGGUA
This 69-nucleotide transfer RNA is filed under the name Eurycotis opaca. RNAcentral describes it as "tRNA-Phe". The record is from RNAcentral. Lineage: Eukaryota; Metazoa; Arthropoda; Insecta; Blattodea; Blattidae.